This 286-nucleotide unclassified non-coding RNA is filed under the name Hevea brasiliensis (rubber tree). Lineage: Eukaryota; Viridiplantae; Streptophyta; Magnoliopsida; Malpighiales; Euphorbiaceae. The record is from RNAcentral.
CAGGAAUUCAAAUAACCCAAGAUGUCGCUUUCCUGUGCCAAAAACUUCUUCCAUCGAUUCUGUAGCGAUGACAUUCAAAUGGAGGGCAUCCCCCAUGGUAGCUUCUUUUCUAGUGACUUCCUACCAUCUCUUGGAGCUAGAAUAAAUCGGGCAACCACACUUCGAAAAUACACAAUUUCCCCCUACAGUUCCCGUUACAGGGCUUGGGAGAUGUGGCUGAUUGUUCUAGUCAUUUACUCUGCUUGGAUCUCUCCGUUUGAGUUUGCAUUUCUAACUUACAAGAAAG